This 253-nucleotide unclassified non-coding RNA is filed under the name uncultured Acidobacteriota bacterium. RNAcentral's name for it is "uncultured Acidobacteria bacterium contains 16S-23S intergenic spacer region". It matches the Rfam family "Bacterial small subunit ribosomal RNA", at positions 524 to 776 of the family's 1533-position model. The record is from RNAcentral. Lineage: Bacteria; Pseudomonadati; Acidobacteriota.
UACGGAGGGGGCAAGCGUUAUUCGGAAUUAUUGGGCGUAAAGCGCACGUAGGCGGCUUGACAAGUCAAGGGUGAAAUCCCUCGGCUCAACCGAGGAACUGCCUUUGAAACUGUCUCGCUUGAGGCCGGGAGGGGGUAGCGGAAUUCCCAGUGUAGCGGUGAAAUGCGUAGAUAUUGGGAGGAACACCGGUGGCGAAGGCGGCUACCUGGACCGGUUCUGACGCUGAGGUGCGAAAGCGUGGGGAGCAAACAGG